Molecule: ribosomal RNA, 158 nt
Filed under: Calonectria ilicicola
Lineage: Eukaryota; Fungi; Ascomycota; Sordariomycetes; Hypocreales; Nectriaceae
Also listed under: 2 other names
Description: 5.8S ribosomal RNA
Rfam family: 5.8S ribosomal RNA
About the family: 5.8S ribosomal RNA (5.8S rRNA) is a component of the large subunit of the eukaryotic ribosome. It is transcribed by RNA polymerase I as part of the 45S precursor that also contains 18S and 28S rRNA.
Source: RNAcentral
AAACUUUCAACAACGGAUCUCUUGGUUCUGGCAUCGAUGAAAAACGCAGCGAAAUGCGAUAAGUAAUGUGAAUUGCAAAAUUCAGUGAAUCAUCGAAUCUUUGAACGCACAUUGCGCCCGCCAGUAUUCUGGCGGGCAUGCCUGUUCGAGCGUCAUUU